UACUAUACUAAACUUUAAUGAAAAACUUGAAUAUUAUAAGAUAUAGGCUUUAAAUUCAAAGAAUUUGGCGGUAAUUUAGUCUUUCCAGAGGAACCUGUUUUUUAAUCGAUACACCACGAAGAAUCUUACUUAUUCUAUUGAUUGUUUGUAUACCGUCAUUAUCAGAUAAUAUUUAAAGAUAUAAAUUAUUGAGGUUUUAAUAAAAACAAAAAUUAGAUCAAGGUGCAGCUUAUGGGUAAGUUAAAAUGGGUUACAAUUAAGUACAUAUAAGAUGAAGUAAAAUUUGAAAUAAUUUUAUGAAGGAGGAUUUGGUUGUAAUAGGAAUUAGUAUGGUAAAAAGAUAUAAGCUCUAGAUUAU
Molecule: ribosomal RNA, 358 nt
Filed under: Mithraculus forceps
Lineage: Eukaryota; Metazoa; Arthropoda; Malacostraca; Decapoda; Mithracidae
Description: partial 12S ribosomal RNA
Source: RNAcentral